Molecule: ribosomal RNA, 223 nt
Filed under: uncultured bacterium
Lineage: Bacteria
Description: partial 16S ribosomal RNA
Rfam family: Bacterial small subunit ribosomal RNA
Source: RNAcentral
UAGGAAUCUACCCUAAAGCGGGGGAUAACCCGAGGAAACUCGGGCUAAUACCGCAUAAUAUCUGAGGAUUAAAGCUAGGUUUACCUGGCACUUUAGGAGGAGCCUGCGUCUGAUUAGCUAGUUGGUAGGGUAAAGGCCUACCAAGGCGACGAUCAGUAGGUGGUCUGAGAGGAUGAUCNCCACACUGGGACUGAGACACGGCCCAGACUCCUACGGGAGGCAG